This 279-nucleotide unclassified non-coding RNA is filed under the name plant metagenome. RNAcentral's name for it is "partial contains small subunit ribosomal RNA, internal transcribed spacer 1, and 5.8S ribosomal RNA". The record is from RNAcentral.
UUUCCGUAGGUGAACCUGCGGAAGGAUCAUUAGUGAGCUCCCGCACUGUCUUAUAACUAUCCCACACCUCGUUGAACCGACCUCUUCUGUUUUAUUUUGCAACCAUGCUUUAGUUAACGUCAUGUAUGUUAACAAAACAAAACUUUCAACAACGGAUCUCUAGUCUCUCGCGUCUAUAAAGAACACAUCAUAACAGAAUAAAAAACGUCUGAACUCCAGUCACCCAUAAUCAACAACGAUGCCGACUGGUACUUGAAACGUCUAAACACAAGACAAAAA